RNAcentral lists this transfer RNA (76 nucleotides) under Blastochloris viridis. Its description in RNAcentral is "tRNA-Ala". It matches the Rfam family "tRNA". From Rfam's summary of the family: Transfer RNA (tRNA) molecules are approximately 80 nucleotides in length. Their secondary structure includes four short double-helical elements and three loops (D, anti-codon, and T loops). Lineage: Bacteria; Pseudomonadati; Pseudomonadota; Alphaproteobacteria; Hyphomicrobiales; Blastochloridaceae. The record is from RNAcentral.
GGGCCCAUAGCUCAGCUGGUAGAGCGCUUGCAUGGCAUGCAAGAGGUCAGCGGUUCGAACCCGCUUGGGUCCACCA